GGAAUAUUGCUUAAUGGGCGAAAGCCUGAAGCAGCAACGCCGCGUGGACGAAGGAGGCCUUCGGGUCGUAAAGUCCUUUUAUGGGGGAAAAGGAAGGAUGGUACCCCAUGAAUAAGUCUCGGCUAACUACGUGCCAGCAGCCGCGGUAAAACGUAGGAGACGAGCGUUAUCCGGAUUUACUGGGCGUAAAGAGCGUGUAGGAGGCAAUACAAGUUGGAUGUAAAAUCUCCCGGCUUAACUGGGAGGCGUCGUUCAAGACUGUAUAGCUGGAGUGCGGCAGAGGUAAUCGGAACUCCGGGAGUAGCGGUGAAAUGCGUAGAUAUCCGGAAGAACACCAGAGGCGAAAGCGGAUUACUGGGCCGUAACUGACACUGAGACGCGAAAGCCAGGGUAGCAAACG
This 400-nucleotide ribosomal RNA is filed under the name uncultured bacterium. RNAcentral's name for it is "bacterial SSU rRNA". It matches the Rfam family "Bacterial small subunit ribosomal RNA", at positions 358 to 774 of the family's 1533-position model. The record is from RNAcentral.